Sardina pilchardus (European sardine) is the source of this 695-nucleotide long non-coding RNA. RefSeq lists it as uncharacterized. The record is from RefSeq and is a predicted model, not a curated record. NCBI's taxonomy places the organism in Eukaryota, Metazoa, Chordata, Actinopteri, Clupeiformes, Clupeidae. The transcript is spliced from 3 exons.
CAGCUGAAGAGAUUCAAGACAUACCUGUCUGAGACAAGUGUGGAGGAGUUUCAGCCCAUCCCCAGAAGACUGCUGGAGGAGGCUGAUGCUACAGAUGUAGCCUCUAAGAUGAAGCAGACAUAUGGGGGAGAGGGCUCAUUGAAGAUGACUCUGAACAUCCUGAGGAAGAUGAACCUCAAUGACCUCGCAGACAAACUGGAAAGGGAUGUUGCCUCAGGAGAAAAAAAUGAUGAUGUAAUCAUUCAAAAAGUCAAAGAAAAACACAAAAAGUGGAUGAUUGAGAGGUUUGAGAACAUUUAUGAGUGUAUCGAGGAGAAAAAGAACAAAACACUCCUGAAUAAGAUCUACACUGAGCUCUACAUCACAGAGGGAGAGUGUGAUGGUGUGAACACCCAACAUGAGGUUCGCAGAAUUGAAAAGCAAUCAAACUGUCAAAGGACAAACGAAAGCAAAAUCAACUGCAAUGACAUAUUUAAUAGCUUAAAAGAUGACGAGAAAAUCAAAACAGUGAUGACCACAGGAAUUGCUGGCAUUGGAAAAACUGUGUGUGUGCAGAAGUUCAUACUCGACUGGGCAGACGGAACGGCCAAUCAAAACAUCGAUUUUAUCUUUCCACUUCCAUUUCGGCAGUUAAAUUUGAUACAAAACGACCUAUACAGUCUUCACAAGCUCCUCCUUGACCUUCAUCCUGCGUU